UACGUAGGGGGCUAGCGUUGUCCGGAAUCACUGGGCGUAAAGAGCGUGUAGGCGGUCCGGUAAGUCCGCUGUGAAAGUCGGGGGCUCAACCCUCGAAUGCCGGUGGAUACUGUCGGGCUAGAGUGCGGAAGAGGCGAGUGGAAUUCCUGGUGUAGCGGUGAAAUGCGCAGAUAUCAGGAGGAACACCGGUGGCGAAGGCGGAUCUCUGGGCCUUACCUGACGCUGAGACGCGAAAGCGUGGGGAGCGAACCGG
Molecule: ribosomal RNA, 253 nt
Filed under: uncultured bacterium
Lineage: Bacteria
Description: partial 16S ribosomal RNA
Rfam family: Bacterial small subunit ribosomal RNA
Source: RNAcentral